Molecule: non-coding RNA, 1071 nt
Organism: Ictidomys tridecemlineatus (thirteen-lined ground squirrel)
Lineage: Eukaryota; Metazoa; Chordata; Mammalia; Rodentia; Sciuridae
Source: RefSeq, a predicted model, not a curated record
CUUUAACAUACUUAUUUGAUUUUAAAUCACGCUACUCAUACCCACAAAAGAGUGUAUUCAUGUAUUUAGAGUCAAUCCAGUGAAGAAAUUCAUUAAUGUAUAUACACAGAUAAGAGGAAUAACAACAUGGUAUUCACUAGGUUCUUUAACUAAAUGAACAGAUUGUAAAAGACUUUAUUUAAAUGCCUUAAUCUCUGCCAAAGUCUACCUAUUUACACCAGUUAUUUGGAAAAUUCUCAGUUGGAUACUUCCAAACAGCAAAUAGCAGGUCAAGUUUCAAACAUGUGACUUGCUCAUUAAGUAUAUUUAAAUAGCAUGUAGUGAGUUAGAAAUCCCCAUCAGAAUCAGAUUCUCCAGGAUACCAGAGAAAGGCUGACUUCUCAACCUUUGAAAACAAAGCAAAACAAAACAAUCAAAAGCAGACAAAAAUGAUGUUCAAGGCACUCAUCACCAGCCUGCUCCUCGUGUUUAUUCACAUUACGGGAACAGUUUCAACAUCUACGACCUCAGUUUCUAUGAGCCCGAAUUCCAGCAUGAGCCCAAACCCCAAGACAAACCAAAGUCUUGGGACCAAGCAUUAUCCUAUGAGAAGUCCAGAUAUCAAGAAUCCCAAGAUGACUCAGAGUUCCAAGAUGAUCCCAAGUUCCAAGAUGAUCCCGAGUUCCAAGAUGAUCCAGAGUUCCAAAACAAACCAAACAUCAGCAAUGACCCCAAAGACAGUUAUAACAACAAUGAAUGUAAUAAAUGGUAGCACAAUACUCAAUGCAAUGUUCAACAUUCACUUUCUUUCCUAUGUAGGCUUUUUACUAUUUUGUGUGUAUUCAGGCUGAAGUGAACCUGUUGAACAGCCUACAUUUUUAUCUUGGUUCCUUAUUAUCUGCUGAAUGAUAAGCACACUAGGAAAAUAAAAUUUAUUUCAACUUACUAUUUAAGAAAUUAUCAUUAUCCUGGUAUGGUUUGGUUGUUUGCAGAUUUUGACUAUAUAAGUUUAAACAUUAUAUGAUAGUUUCCUUCCUUAUAAAAAACUAUGUACUUACUUCCUUAUUAAAUGCCAAAAUAAGCAAAAUACCA